RNAcentral lists this long non-coding RNA (1695 nucleotides) under Medicago truncatula (barrel medic). RNAcentral describes it as "long non-coding RNA (MTRU_LNC001175)". The record is from RNAcentral. Lineage: Eukaryota; Viridiplantae; Streptophyta; Magnoliopsida; Fabales; Fabaceae.
GAGACUUCACCAACUCCUUUUUGCAUUCUUUCGUUGUCAAUAUCUUUUUGAAUUAAAUUAAUCAUAUCCUUCUUGAGUCACGACAUGGACUAGUACUCGCUUUUGAAUUUGUACAUCAUAAAGUCAAAUUCUAACAUUUACAUUAUUAUUAGAACAAUUUCAAAGCAUGGAAAUAAAUAGCACAAACACAAAGUGAGAAACCAGCAAAAGGCCGGUAUAUAACUCCACACGAGUGCCAACACAAAUUCUUCAAACGAGAUUAUUCAAAGAAGCAAUUAAAGUCAAAUCAGAUUACAACUUUUAAAGGGCCCACUUUGAAAGCGCUUCACCGUCCUCCUCAUAAGAAUUUUUUUGUAUAUAAACCAAACUAUAGUGGCUCUUCAUUUAGCUCAAAAUAAAUACAACUUUUGGAAAUAAAAAUAUAUCUCAAACAAGCUAAGGAAUAUUGUGAAAGGAAUUGGAAGGAAAAAAAGUUGGUGAUGAUGAUUAUGAAGAAAAGUAUAUUGAUUGUGUUUUUUAUCAUUAUGGUUGUGAUGUCAUCAUCACAGUUAUGUUUUGUUCAAAGCAGAGUUCUUCAAUCCAAGGAGUUUAGAAAAGAUGGAGUGACAUCUUUUGUUUCUUCUAACAAUUCAAGCAAUCGUGGUUCAAAGGAAAGCUUUUCAUUCAUACUAGCUUCUGGACCAAGCAAAAAAGGCCCUGGACAUUGAGUUAUAUUCAUUCUUUGCCAUUUUUUUCUUUUGAUUAUUAUUUUUUACAUAUGUUUUAUCUCUAGACUCUAGGUUAUAGAUAUUGAAUUCUUCCAUGGCCAUUUUUCUUCUCCGUGGAAUUCUCAGUGUAUGUAAUUUGUAGAUUGUUUAAUUAUCAUAAAUAUAAAUGCACUUGUGGAUAUAAUUAUGUUUUAAUGUCUUCAUCUUUUGAGUAUUUAGAUGAUUAUUAGAAAUAUUUUAUUUUAGAUUAUUAAGGAUACCAUUGAGUUGAUCAAUGUAGAUCAUUCAAAUCCAUUAAGUUAUAUGCCAAGCGUGAUCCAAGCUGCAGGAGUGGUGGUUCGAGUCUAAGAUCAAAGAGAAAACUUCGGUAUAUAUAGUAUUAGAUUGAAAGGUUGGGUGUUAUCAUUGUAACAGUCAAUAAAAAAAUAAAAUUAAUUUCGUGAAUAUGAGAAUGUUAACAAAAAUAAAUAGUGGAAAACAUAAUAAAGUUAAAAUUACAACUAUUUAAGAGAAAAUUUGUGCAGCUUUCAUUACAUAAAAAAUGUCAAUUUUUGUUUGAUUGUGUAAUUCGAGCGUGUAAUCGUGUAUGAGUUUUAAAGUGCGAUUGUUUUGGAUGGAGAUGUGACGUCUCUUUUUAUGGUUCUGAAGUAUCGUCUCGUUGUUGCUUUCAGCACUGCUUCGGCCCCACCAACAAAUGGUAUCGAAGUCAUGGUUUGGCUUGGUGAGGGAGCAAGAGUGGGAUUGAUGAGUUUCAAGUGUGAGGGAUUAAAUCUCACCUAAUCCAUGAAUGGAUAAAAUGUUGGAUUAUAUAAAAGAGGUCACUCAAAUACAUAAUAUUUUAGGUUUUGGAUGAAAAUGUGACGCUUUCUUCUUGUGAUCCUGGGACAUUGAUAUGUUGUUGCUUUUGGCACUCCUCAUACUCACCAACAAUAGUACAUGUUAAAUCAUCAUGGUUUUAAUCUGGGAUAAGAUAGGAAAUUAAAGAUAA